Molecule: ribosomal RNA, 393 nt
Filed under: uncultured bacterium
Lineage: Bacteria
Description: partial 16S ribosomal RNA
Rfam family: Bacterial small subunit ribosomal RNA
Source: RNAcentral
AUACGGAGGACGCGAGCGUUAUCCGGAUUCAUUGGGUUUAAAGGGUGCGCAGGCGGCCGUGCAAGUCAGCGGUGAAAGCCCGGGGCUCAACCCCGGAAGUGCCGUUGAUACUGCAUGGCUGGAAUGCGGUCGAGGCGGGCGGGACGAGGCGGGUUGAGGUGAAAGGGGUAAGUAUGCCACAGAACGCCGUUAGCGGGGGCGGGUCGCCAGGCCUGCAUUGCCGCUCGGUCACGAAAGCGUGGGGAUCGAACAGGAUUAGAUACCCGGGUAGUCCACGCCGUAAACGAUGGGCGCUCGUCGUCGGCGGCAGACAGUCGGCGGCCAAGCGAAAGCGAUAAGCGCCCCACCUGGGGAGUACGGUCGCAAGGCUGAAACUCAAAUGAAUUGACGGGG